GACGAACGCUGGCGGCGUGCUUAACACAUGCAAGUCGAGCGGUAAGGCCCUUUCGGGGGUACGACGAGCGGCGAACGGGUGAGUAACACGUGGGUGACCUGCCUCUAGCUCUGGGAUAAGCCUGGGAAGGCUGGGUCUAAUACCGGAUAUGACCUCGCGGUGCAUGUUGCGGGGUGGAAAGCCUUGUGCGGCUAGGGAUGGGCCCGCGGCCUAUCAGCUUGUUGGUGGGGUGAUGGCCUACCAAGGCGACGACGGGUAGCCGGCCUGAGAGGGCGACCGGCCACACUGGGACUGAGACACGGCCCAGACUCCUACGGGAGGCAGCAGUGGGGAAGUCUUGCGCAAUGGGCGAAAGCCUGACGCAGCGACGCCGCGUGAGGGAUGACGGCCUCGGUG
Molecule: ribosomal RNA, 396 nt
Filed under: uncultured bacterium
Lineage: Bacteria
Description: bacterial SSU rRNA
Rfam family: Bacterial small subunit ribosomal RNA
Source: RNAcentral